Molecule: ribosomal RNA, 414 nt
Filed under: Triticum aestivum (bread wheat)
Lineage: Eukaryota; Viridiplantae; Streptophyta; Magnoliopsida; Poales; Poaceae
Description: partial small subunit ribosomal RNA
Source: RNAcentral
AUGAUCGCCGGUCUUCCUAUCAAGUGGAAUCCUCUUUGUGUGAGCACCGAUUCUAAUGCGUGGCAUGAGCAGAUGCAUGCCCUUAUCGGUAUGGUUCCUCCGGAGCCUCGGGAACCAGAAGCAGAAGACAAGAAGAAGGAAAGAGUCGCAGCCGGUGCUCCUUUCACCUGGAUUGCACGGAACUUUGGUUCUUGCCCUGAGGAUGCUAAUGAGGAUGAGUUCAAGACAUAUGCUCGUGUCUAUAUGUGGUACGUUAUAUCCAGGACUAUGUUUGCUGAUGGCACAGGCAAGAAUGCUCCAUGGAUGUGGCUGAAGGCGUUGACCGUCUUCGAUAGCACAUGGAGUUGGGGUUUGGCGACUGUCGGUGUCAAAACCGGCGGAUCUCGGGUAGGGGGUCCCGAACUGUGCGUCUAG